CAGAUGGAUCUUGCCGAAAAUCAGGUUUGCUGGAGAUCGAAAUUUAUUAUAUAUGCUAGCUUGUAUAUUAAUGUUACCUUCAAUAUCUCGAUCACUUGAUAUAUAUAUAUAUAUAGUAUAGCAGUACUGCAGCACGAAAGAAGUUGGGCUUUAUGAUCCGGAUGCGACAGGGAGGAAUGGAGGUGUUGCGGAGAUAUCCGAAGACGAAGCAGCUUCUCGGUCCUAACUUUGGCCAGAUAAAGAAGAUGGAUGCUCGGGUUGUCAUGAAAAAGGUGAGGACAAUCCAUAUUUUCUGCUGGUCUUCUGAGCUUGAUGAUGAUUUCUUCCUGUCCUUGUUGCCAUUGUUUGCUUCUGGUUUUGAUGAUUGGUAAGGUUAUUUGGAGUUUUUCUGUGAGAAAGUUACAACAUGUUGAACCAAGAGGAUAAGGCAAAGGCAAGAUUUAGAGUACCAGAAUGCUUCCAUGGAGAUGGAUUGGUUCCGAAUAUGGCAGUUUAAUAUCUCACAGAAAUGUUUAGGGGGCUGAAUAUCUUGUCAAAAAGUUCUCGUUGAUGUUGUGAAACAUUGGAAAAGAUAGUAUUUUUUACGAGAGUAAUACUAGAUACAGUUUUAAGAUAUGAAAAUACUGUGUAUUUACUUUAAAAAAAGUGGAGUCUACCAUGAAAAGAUGGUUUUUUGAUUU
Molecule: long non-coding RNA, 680 nt
Organism: Carya illinoinensis
Lineage: Eukaryota; Viridiplantae; Streptophyta; Magnoliopsida; Fagales; Juglandaceae
Exons: 2
Source: RefSeq, a predicted model, not a curated record